This 675-nucleotide ribosomal RNA is filed under the name uncultured Bacteroidota bacterium. Its description in RNAcentral is "bacterial SSU rRNA". It matches the Rfam family "Bacterial small subunit ribosomal RNA", at positions 67 to 748 of the family's 1533-position model. Lineage: Bacteria; Pseudomonadati; Bacteroidota. The record is from RNAcentral.
CGGGCGGUAGCAAUACCGCUAGUGGCGCACGGGUGCGUAACGCGUAACCAACCUGCCCUUGACUGGGGGAUAGCCCGCCGAAAGGCGGAUUAAUACCGCAUAAACUAGCAGCCUGGCAUCAGGUAACUAGUAAAGAUUUAUUGGUCAAGGAUGGGGUUGCGUGACAUUAGCUAGUUGGCGGGGUAACGGCCCACCAAGGCGACGAUGUCUAGGGGACCUGAGAGGGUGAUCCCCCACACUGGCACUGAGAUACGGGCCAGACUCCUACGGGAGGCAGCAGUAGGGAAUAUUGGGCAAUGGACGAGAGUCUGACCCAGCCAUGCCGCGUGCCGGAUGAAGGCCUUCUGGGUUGUAAACGGCUUUUCUCAGGGAAGAAAACGGGUAUGCGUACCACACUGACGGUACCUGAGGAAUAAGCACCGGCUAACUCCGUGCCAGCAGCCGCGGUAAUACGGAGGGUGCAAGCGUUGUCCGGAUUUAUUGGGUUUAAAGGGUGCGUAGGCGGCCCGUUAAGUCCGGGGUGAAAGCCCACUGCUCAACAGUGGAACUGCCCUGGAUACUGACGGGCUUGAGUCCAGACGAGGUUGGCGGAAUGGAUGCUGUAGCGGUGAAAUGCAUAGAUAGCAUCCAGAACCCCGAUUGCGAAGGCAGCUGACUAGGCUGGUACUGACGCUG